Molecule: long non-coding RNA, 1057 nt
Organism: Homo sapiens (human)
Lineage: Eukaryota; Metazoa; Chordata; Mammalia; Primates; Hominidae
Gene: SORL1-AS1
Product: SORL1 antisense RNA 1
Source: Ensembl
ACACCUCCUUGUUCUCCCUGCAGGAAUGAAGAGUUGCAUGGGGCUCGCUCGUUUUCUCUGGAGUUAGUUGCGUCCUAUACAGGGUCGUGUCGAGGUCGUCCUAAACCGUGGCCACUUUCCUGAGUGCACAGCCCGCAGUAGCGCCACAAGACCACCUCCCCCCGGCCCCGGCCUCAUCCCCACCUCCAGGGAAGAGUCCAGAGCCACAGAAUUAGCUCCUAGAACGCAACCAACAAGAGUCCAGAUGAACCCGCUCUAUUGGGAAACUCACAGUUUUUCAUCUACUCUGGGCACCACAACGUAUUUGCAGGGGCCACAGCAAAAACUACCCUUGAUCAAGCUACGUGCCCCAGCCUGAAGCACAGCAAAUAAACAUCCUGCACAGAGGCAGUAAAAACAAGGGUACAUCUGACAAAGAAUGCACCACACCUGGACAAUUAUUACACAGCUAUACAGGGUGUGCUUGCACGCACGCAUGAAUACCUGUGCGUGGCACAGGGCCCCAGCGGCGGCUUGCUUAUGAUCCCUCCAAGGUGACCAAGCACUGAGCCACCCUGCCUCAGCAGUAAAAUAGACAUAUUUACCAGUCCCUUCAACCCACAGCCAGGAGCUAGGCAAACACCCACAGAGGAGGGAGGACACACUUUAACCCUACAUUCAGCUUGACGAGCCAAACUCUCUGAACCACAGGAGAUAAAACUUCUGCCAUGGAACUGCUAAGGUAGAUAAUCAGCAACCCCCCAAGACUGUGCCUGCUGCACAACUACAGAACGCAGUGGAAGACACGCUGAAUUCUGAGUCAGAAGGUUGACUUUCUAGCUGUGGGGACUUGGCCAAACCUCCUCAGAGCUUCAGUUUUCUCAUCUGUAAAAUAGAGAUCUUAAUCCCUACCAAUCUCACAGGACUGCUGAGAGUAUCAGAUGAGGUAAGUAUAUAAAAUAGCUGUGCAAAUUUGUGUGAAGGCCUCCAGAGAGAAAUAGUGCAUGCAGGUGGCAUUAGAAACAUAGAUUCUAGUCCUGGCUUUGCAACCAAAUUAUUAUGUAAUUUUUUGUCUUGA